Molecule: ribosomal RNA, 104 nt
Filed under: Pteropus alecto (black flying fox)
Lineage: Eukaryota; Metazoa; Chordata; Mammalia; Chiroptera; Pteropodidae
Source: RNAcentral
GUCUACGGCCAUGCCACCCUGAAUGUGCCUGAUCUCAGAAGUUAAGCAGGGCCUGGUUAGUACCUGGAUGGGAGACCACCUCGGAAUAUCAGGUGCUGUAGGUG